AUGCUUCAAUCUUAUGGGUUAACUGUGAAAAAGCUUGACGAGAAAUUGGAAAGAACUCUUCUCCAUUCGUAUCGCAAGGUGUGGCCCAGUUUUGUGCUUCGUCCAUAGGUUUGUUUUUCCGCGUUUGGAUCCAAAAUGUUUGAAAAGUAUGCAUCAUUGAGCGAGUGUCCUCAAGAACAAGAGUCACAUGUUUUUUAGAGAAGGUCGGGGACUAGAUGACGGUGUGAAGGUUGAGUUUUGACUUUAUUUGGAAAACGGGGUGGAAUUUACUCCCAUUUACUUAAUGUGGGUCAAUUUGGAUUGGAUUUUAUUGUUGAAUGUUGGUCAAGUUUAAAAGCUUACCUAAAUAUGAGGCGGGUCAACUUGGUCAUAACGAGUUGAAAGUCAAUGAAAAUGGUUUGACCACGUAAACAGACCCCUAAAAAGGAUAAAUAACGAGCUUAUAGUGAUCCACUUUUUAUGGCCAGGAUUGACACCUCAGUUCUGCAAAGUUUCAUUUUUAUUUUCUAAACAUUUUUUAAGUUAAAAAAGAAAACAAUUAGUACGCUUUAAAAUUAACCAAUGUAAAAAGCACCAAUGGGCUAACAAUCUGGGAUAGGAGUUUUCCAUCAAAUGGGUCAGAAUGGAGUUAUGUGGAUAUGGGAAUGAAGAUGCUGGUAAGGGGAGUAUUAAAUUGAAUUAUUGAGCUCCAUUAAAGGUGAAUUAUCUUGGUUGGAAGGCUGUUGAGGGUCGGUUGGCUGCCAAAAUGGAGUUGGGCUGCAGUGGGGUUUCUGCAAAUUGUUUGAUUUGCUGCAGGUGUGGGCUGGAUAGGGAAGACACAAGUCAUAUCUUUAUUAAAUGCUUGGUGGCGAGAUGUUUUGGGUGGCUGGCUGGUUAGCGUCGGGUUGAAGGAGCCAUGCAGACAAAGGAGUUGCUUAUCCUGGAU
This 925-nucleotide long non-coding RNA is filed under the name Helianthus annuus (common sunflower). Lineage: Eukaryota; Viridiplantae; Streptophyta; Magnoliopsida; Asterales; Asteraceae. The record is from RNAcentral.